This 496-nucleotide ribosomal RNA is filed under the name uncultured bacterium. RNAcentral describes it as "partial 16S ribosomal RNA". It matches the Rfam family "Bacterial small subunit ribosomal RNA", at positions 29 to 507 of the family's 1533-position model. The record is from RNAcentral.
AUGAACGCUGGCGGCGUGCCUAAUCCAUGCAAGUCGAGCGAACAGAUGAGGAGCUUGCUCCUCUGACGUUAGCGGCGGACGGGUGAGUAACACGUGGAUAACCUACCUAUAAGACUGGGAUAACUUCGGGAAACCGGAGCUAAUACCGGAUAAUAUAUUGAACCGCAUGGUUCAAUAGUGAAAGACGGUUUUGCUGUCACUUAUAGAUGGAUCCGCGCCGCAUUAGCUAGUUGGUAAGGUAACGGCUUACCAAGGCAACGAUGCGUAGCCGACCUGAGAGGGUGAGCGGCCACACUGGAACUGAGACACGGUCCAGACUCCUACGGGAGGCAGCAGUAGGGAAUCUUCCGCAAUGGGCGAAAGCCUGACGGAGCAACGCCGCGUGAGUGAUGAAGGUCUUCGGAUCGUAAAACUCUGUUAUUAGGGAAGAACAAAUGUGUAAGUAACUAUGCACGUCUUGACGGUACCUAAUCAGAAAGCCACGGCUAACUACGUG